GAGGUAGGUGGUCUCGUUUGUCCGGGGUGAAAUACCUGAGCUUAACUCGGGAAGUGCCUCGGAAACGGCGAGACUAGAGUACUGGAGAGGGUAGCGGAAUUCCCGGUGUAGCGGUGAAAUGCGUAGAGAUCGGGAGGAACACCAGAGGCGAAGGCGGCUACCUGGACAGUCACUGACACUCAACUCCGAAAGCGUGGGGAUCAAACA
Molecule: ribosomal RNA, 207 nt
Filed under: uncultured bacterium
Lineage: Bacteria
Description: partial 16S ribosomal RNA
Rfam family: Bacterial small subunit ribosomal RNA
Source: RNAcentral